RNAcentral lists this unclassified non-coding RNA (378 nucleotides) under plant metagenome. Its description in RNAcentral is "partial contains 5.8S ribosomal RNA, internal transcribed spacer 2, and large subunit ribosomal RNA". The stretch from base 1 to 105 matches the Rfam family "5.8S ribosomal RNA", at positions 50 to 154 of the family's 154-position model. The record is from RNAcentral.
GAAAUGCGAUAAGUAAUGUGAAUUGCAGAAUUCAGUGAAUCAUCGAAUCUUUGAACGCACCUUGCGCUCCUUGGUAUUCCUUGGAGCAUGCCUGUUUGAGUAUCAUGAAAUCUUCAAAGUAAAUCUUUUGUUAACUCAAUUGGUUUCUACUUUGGUAUUGGAGGUCUUUGCAGCUUCACACCUGCUCCUCUUUGUUCAUUAGCUGGAUCUCAGUGUUAUGCUUGGUUCCACUCGGCGUGAUAAGUUAUCUAUCGCUGAGGACACUGUAAAAGGUGGCCAAGGUAAAUGCAGAUGAGCCGCUUCUAAUAGUCCAUUGACUUGGACAAUACUUUUAUGAUCUGAUCUCAAAUCUGGUAGGACUACCCGCUGAACUUAAGC